Molecule: transfer RNA, 75 nt
Filed under: Bacillota bacterium
Lineage: Bacteria; Bacillati; Bacillota
Also listed under: 2 other names
Description: tRNA-Glu
Rfam family: tRNA
About the family: Transfer RNA (tRNA) molecules are approximately 80 nucleotides in length. Their secondary structure includes four short double-helical elements and three loops (D, anti-codon, and T loops).
Source: RNAcentral
GGCCUUGUGGUCAAGCGGUUAAGACGGCGCCCUCUCACGGCGCAAUCCCGGGUUCGAUUCCCGGCGAGGUCACCA